Molecule: ribosomal RNA, 253 nt
Filed under: uncultured bacterium
Lineage: Bacteria
Description: partial 16S ribosomal RNA
Rfam family: Bacterial small subunit ribosomal RNA
Source: RNAcentral
UACGUAGGGUGCAAGCGUUGUCCGGAAUUAUUGGGCGUAAAGAGCUCGUAGGCGGUCUGUCGCGUCGGCUGUGAAAUCCCGAGGCUCAACCUCGGGUCUGCAGUCGAUACGGGCAAACUGGAGUACUGCAGGGGAGACUGGAAUUCCUGGUGUAGCGGUGAAAUGCGCAGAUAUCAGGAGGAACACCGGUGGCGAAGGCGGGUCUCUGGGCCACUACUGACGCUGAGAAGCGAAAGCAUGGGGAGCGAACAGG